Hemicordylus capensis (graceful crag lizard) is the source of this 442-nucleotide long non-coding RNA. RefSeq lists it as uncharacterized. The transcript has 3 exons. The record is from RefSeq and is a predicted model, not a curated record. Lineage: Eukaryota; Metazoa; Chordata; Lepidosauria; Squamata; Cordylidae.
GAAAGGAGUCCAUUGCUACAGUCCUGAAUCCCAUCACCUUGUACUCAUCAGAUAAGCAAAUUCUUGGCAGAUUUUAAUUCAUUCAGUGGAGCUCAGGGUUCUGCAGUCUGAAAAAGUGGAACAUUCGCUUCUUAACAGAAGACUCCAGCACAGAAGAGGAGGAGCUAAGAUCUGCAGGCACUGGAUCCAGGUACAAACACAGAGCCCAAGCCUCUCAGCAAGCAGCCCAGAAGUGGAGAUCCCUGAACCAAGACAUUUAGCAGCCGCCCCUUUUGUCUGAUUUCUUUGAGAAACUGGCCCCCUCUGAACUGGGCCCUUGCACACCCUCGAGUCUGCUUGCCACUGCAGACAACACACUAGAUGGAGUUACAAAGAGGCGGAGGCGGCAGCAACCCAAGUUAUUGGGUGCUUGAGGCAAAAUGCAAAUUGCUGCCCAACCUUG